ACUUUCAACAACGGAUCUCUUGGUUCUCGCAUCGAUGAAGAACGCAGCGAAAUGCGAUAAGUAGUGUGAAUUGCAGAAUUCCGUGAAUCAUCGAAUCUUUGAACGCACAUUGCGCCUCCUGGUAUUCCGGGAGGCAUGCCUGUUCGAGCGU
This 151-nucleotide ribosomal RNA is filed under the name Geopora arenicola. RNAcentral describes it as "5.8S ribosomal RNA". It matches the Rfam family "5.8S ribosomal RNA". Rfam says of the family: 5.8S ribosomal RNA (5.8S rRNA) is a component of the large subunit of the eukaryotic ribosome. It is transcribed by RNA polymerase I as part of the 45S precursor that also contains 18S and 28S rRNA. The record is from RNAcentral. Lineage: Eukaryota; Fungi; Ascomycota; Pezizomycetes; Pezizales; Pyronemataceae.